This 433-nucleotide ribosomal RNA is filed under the name uncultured bacterium. Its description in RNAcentral is "bacterial SSU rRNA". It matches the Rfam family "Bacterial small subunit ribosomal RNA", at positions 29 to 506 of the family's 1533-position model. The record is from RNAcentral.
GCGAACGCUGGCGGCAGGCUUAACACAUGCAAGUCGAGCGCCUGUAGCAAUACAGGAGCGGCAGACGGGUGAGUAACGCGUGGGAACGUACCUUCUGGUUCGGAAUAACUCAGGGAAACUUGAGCUAAUACCGAAUAAGUCCUUCGGGAGAAAGAUUUAUCGCCGGAAGAUCGGCCCGCGUAAGAUUAGCUUGUUGGUGAGGUAACGGCUCACCAAGGCUACGAUCUUUAGCUGGUCUGAGAGGAUGAUCAGCCACAUUGGGACUGAGACACGGCCCAAACUCCUACGGGAGGCAGCAGUGGGGAAUAUUGGACAAUGGGCGCAAGCCUGAUCCAGCCAUGCCGCGUGAGUGAUGAAGGCCUUAGGGUUGUAAAGCUCUCUUAGCAGGGACGAUAAUGACGGUACCUGCAGAAAAAGCCCCGGCCAACUUCGU